RNAcentral lists this transfer RNA (74 nucleotides) under Otolemur garnettii (small-eared galago). It matches the Rfam family "tRNA". From Rfam's summary of the family: Transfer RNA (tRNA) molecules are approximately 80 nucleotides in length. Their secondary structure includes four short double-helical elements and three loops (D, anti-codon, and T loops). Lineage: Eukaryota; Metazoa; Chordata; Mammalia; Primates; Galagidae. The record is from Rfam by way of RNAcentral.
UGCUGGGUGGCUCAAAGGAGUAGGGUGCUGGCCUCAUAUGUCGGAGGUGGUGGGUUCAAACCUAGCCCCAGCCA